CCCGCUGAACUUAAGCAUAUCAAUAAGCGGAGGAAAAGAAACUAACAAGGAUUCCCCUAGUAACUGCGAGUGAAGCGGGAAAAGCUCAAAUUUUAAAUCUGGCGGCCCUCCUGUGGGUUGUCCGAGUUGUAAUCUAGAGAAGUGCUUUCCGCGCUGGACCGUGUACAAGUCUCUUGGAAUGGAGCGUCGUAGAGGGUGACAAUCCCGUCUUUGACACGGACUGCCAGGGCUUUUAUGUGAUGCGCUCUCGAAGAGUCGAGUUGUUUGGGAAUGCAGCUCAAAAUGGGUGGUAAAUUCCAUCUAAAGCUAAAUAUGGGCGAGAGACCGAUAGCGGACAAGUACCGUGAGGGAAAGAUGAAAAGGACUUUGAAAAGAGAGUUAAACAGUACGUGAAAUUGCUGAAAGGGAAACGAUUCAAGUCAGUCGCAUUGGCCGGUAAUCAACCUUUGCAAAUCCAAUUUGCUGGGCUUACUUUCCGGUUUGAUGGGUCAGCAUCAAUUUUGACUGUCGGAUAAAGGCUUGGGGGAAUGUGGCAUCUUCGGAUGUGUUAUAGCCCUUGGUCGCAUGCGAUGGUUGGGAUUGAGGAACUCAGCAUGGCCCUUUGAAAGGAGGGCUCGGAGGGGUUGUUGCCCUUCACGUAACGUGCUUAGGAUGUUGGCAUAAUGGCUUGAACCGACCCGUCUUGAAACACGG
Molecule: ribosomal RNA, 693 nt
Filed under: uncultured fungus
Lineage: Eukaryota; Fungi
Description: eukaryotic LSU rRNA
Rfam family: Eukaryotic large subunit ribosomal RNA
Source: RNAcentral